AGAGAAGGCACAGAACUUGACAUGUACCAGAUGGAGCCAAGACCACAGCUGAGGCCACAAGGUGUAAGCUAGCUGGGCAGUGGGGAAGAACAAGCAGCCAGCUCCCUGAAACAAGCCCCACUUCCCAUCCAGUCUCUGCUUCCUGAGUACAGAUGCAAUGUGACCUCAUGCUCCUGCCAUCAUGAAGCUGCUCACUGCCAUGCCUUUUCCACCACGAUGGACUGAAUCCUGUCAAACUAUGAGCCCAAAAGAAACCUUUCUUUUCUGAAGCUUCUUAUGAGACAUUUGGUCAAGGCAGCGAGAAAGUCACUAACAUACCACAGAGUUUGAUGGGCUCUGCACAUCUCUGCUUGUCGAAUGUAACAGGUCACCACUGACUGACCUCUGGGUCUCUUGCUCUAAGUUUACUGUGAUCGGAAUAGUUACAACUGAGGUGAUCUCCAAAUGCCAUCCUACCUUCAGCAAGAAGAAAAAAAGUAAUGAGUCAUUCCAUAAACAUUCUAUA
Microtus oregoni (creeping vole) is the source of this 505-nucleotide long non-coding RNA. RefSeq lists it as uncharacterized. The transcript has 4 exons. The record is from RefSeq and is a predicted model, not a curated record. Lineage: Eukaryota; Metazoa; Chordata; Mammalia; Rodentia; Cricetidae.